Molecule: ribosomal RNA, 180 nt
Filed under: BTEX-degrading bacterium enrichment culture
Lineage: Bacteria
Description: partial 16S ribosomal RNA
Rfam family: Bacterial small subunit ribosomal RNA
Source: RNAcentral
GGCAGCAGUGGGGAAUAUUGGACAAUGGGCGAAAGCCUGAUCCAGCCAUGCCGCGUGUGUGAAGAAGGUCUUCGGAUUGUAAAGCACUUUAAGUUGGGAGGAAGGGCAGUAAGCUAAUACCUUGCUGUUUUGACGUUACCGACAGAAUAAGCACCGGCUAACUCUGUGCCAGCAGCCGCG